RNAcentral lists this ribosomal RNA (510 nucleotides) under uncultured bacterium. RNAcentral's name for it is "bacterial SSU rRNA". It matches the Rfam family "Bacterial small subunit ribosomal RNA", at positions 28 to 528 of the family's 1533-position model. The record is from RNAcentral.
GACGAACGCUGGCGGCGUGGAUUAGGCAUGCAAGUCGAACGGUAUCAUCCUUUCGGGGGUGAGAGAGUGGCGAACUGGUGAGUAACACGUAGGUUAUCUACCCUCAAGACGGGGACAACCCAGGGAAACUUGGGCUAAUACCGGAUGUGAGCAACUUUUAGUUGUUUGAAAGGUGGCGUAAGCUGUCGCUUGGGGAUGAGCCUGCGUCCUAUUAGUUAGUUGGUGAGGUAACGGCUCACCUAGGCAAUGAUAGGUAGGCGGCCUUAACGGGUGGUCGCCCACACUGGGAUUGAGAUACGGCCCAGACUCCUACGGGAGGCAGCAGUCGAGAAUAGUCUACAAUGGUCGGAAGACUGAUAGUGCGACGCCGCGUGAACGAUGAAUCCCUUCGGGGUGUAAAGUUCUUUUAUAUGUGAGCAGUGCUUCUUAUAUUAACAGUAUGGGGGGAGAGGAUAUUAGCAUAUGAAUAAGCAACGGCUAACUCCGUGCCAGCAGCCGCGGUAAACUCGU